This 464-nucleotide ribosomal RNA is filed under the name uncultured bacterium. RNAcentral describes it as "bacterial SSU rRNA". It matches the Rfam family "Bacterial small subunit ribosomal RNA", at positions 917 to 1382 of the family's 1533-position model. The record is from RNAcentral.
GGACCCGCACAAGCGGUGGAGCAUGUGGUUUAAUUCGAAGCAACGCGAAGAACCUUACCAAAUCUUGACAUCCCGAUGACAGAGACGUAAUAGUCUCCUCUCUUCGGAGCAUCGGUGACAGGUGGUGCAUGGUUGUCGUCAGCUCGUGUCGUGAGAUGUUGGGUUAAGUCCCGCAACGAGCGCAACCCUUAUUGUCAGUAGCCAGCAUUCAGUUGGGCACUCUGACGAGACUGCCAGGGAUAACCUGGAGGAAGGUGGGGAUGACGUCAAAUCAUCAUGCCCCUUAUGAUUUGGGCCACACACGUGCUACAAUGGCGUAAACAAAGAGAAGCAAAAGCGCGAGCCGGAGCGAAUCUCAAAAAUAACGUCUCAGUUCGGACUGUAGUCUGCAACCCGACUACACGAAGCUGGAAUCGCUAGUAAUCGCAGAUCAGAAUGCUGCGGUGAAUACGUUCCCGGGUCUU